UCAUUCGGUUGGGCGAGUAAAGCAGCGAUGCGCUUAGGGAUGGGCCUGCGGCGGAUUAGGUAGUUGGUGGGGUAACGGCCUACCAAGCCGAUGAUCCGUAGGGGGCGUGAGAGCGUGGCCCCCCACACUGGCACUGAGACACGGGCCAGACUCCUACGGGAGGCAGCAGUGAGGAAUAUUGCACAAUGGGCGCAAGCCUGAUGCAGCAGCGCCGCGUGAGGGACGAAGGCCUUCGGGUUGUAAACCUCUUUUCUGAGGGACGAGGAAGGACGGUACCUCAGGAAUAAGUCUCGGCUAACUACGUGCCAGCAGCCGCGGUAAAACGUAGGAGGCGAGCGUUAUCCGGAUUUACUGGGCGUAAAGCGCGCGCAGGUGGCUUCGUGAGUCGGACAUGAAAGCUCCUGGCUUAACUGGGAGAGGCUGUUCGAUACUGCGGGGCUUGAGGUUGGGAGAGGGACGCGGAAUUCCCGGUGGAGUGGUGGAAUGCGUAGAUAUCGGGAGGAACACCAGUGGCGCAAGCGGCGUCCUGGCCCACACCUGACGCUGAGGUGCGAAAGCGUGGGUAGCAAACAGGAUUAGAUACCCUGGUAGUCCACGCUGUAAACGAUGUCAACUGGGUGUCGGUAGUUUUACACUAUCGGUGCCGAAGCUAACGCG
Molecule: ribosomal RNA, 657 nt
Filed under: uncultured bacterium
Lineage: Bacteria
Description: bacterial SSU rRNA
Rfam family: Bacterial small subunit ribosomal RNA
Source: RNAcentral